RNAcentral lists this long non-coding RNA (4596 nucleotides) under Sus scrofa (pig). RNAcentral's name for it is "lncRNA (ENSSSCG00025070973.1)". Lineage: Eukaryota; Metazoa; Chordata; Mammalia; Artiodactyla; Suidae. The record is from RNAcentral.
GCAUCAGACGGCUCCGAGCCUCACUCUCCCCAGCUGCAGAACGGGGUGAUUUCGGCUUCUCCCACGGGGCUGCUGUGGGGCUCCAGUUAGACCACCACCACCGUGCCCGGCCAUGUGACUCAUAGCGCCGUCUGAAGGAUUCUUCAUCCUGGGCGACUCGGAAUCACCAUGCCUCCUGGGUUUGCUCUUCUUGCUACAAAAGGCUCCCCAGGCCUUCGCCCCAGCUCUGGAGACGCUCCUCAGCCUGGUUCAUUUGGAGCGAGCCCGGCCCCUCUGUGUUGGGAAACAGGGGUCCCUUCCAGCCUCCGGCCCUGGGCAGAGGGAGGAGGAGGCCUCGGGAUGCAGAGGCAGGAGGGCGUGGAUUAGAAACCCAUCACAGAAAUGACUUUCUUAUCACGCUACGACCUGAAUUGACAGAACCAACUCUCGAAAUUGAAUUGUCUCCCCCCUCGGCUGCCUCAGCUCCUAGUUCCUUCCCCACUGCCACCUCCACCUCUGAAAGCCCUGCUGGGAGAGACCAAGAGACAGAGAUGCAGGAGAGAAGCAAAGAUGACUCAACUGAGGCACAGAGGCGUUCAGGAACCUGCUCAGCAUCUGGACAGUACCCACGACGAACAUUCCAGGUUUGUCACAUGCGGGGAGUCCCAACGGUAAAAGCCCAUCUACACCCAGAUCAACCUGAGGUGGGGGUGGGAGGUGGAACCUGUGCCCAUUUUGCAGGUGGGGAAAUGGAGGCCUAGCCCACAGAUGCCUUUAGCUUUAGGAUUAGAAUUAAGGCACUCCCAGGAUUCGGGGCUGGCGUUUUCAGAUGGUGUCCUGGGUGCCAGUGUCUAAGUCUGAGAUGGGGCAGUAGGCCAUGCACCCAACACUCGCCUUCCUCUGUCCUCCCUGCACGCCCCCCUUCCCUGGACUUGGUUCUCAAUCCCAGUACCCUCUAGGCCUGCGGAGGCCCUUUGUCCCACACGAAGGUUGAGCUGGAGAGAGGGACUCACCUGAGAGCAGGUGCAUUCCCAGAUAACCCCCAGAUGCAAAUCGCAGGCCUCUGCAGGUCCAGAGUGGAAGGUGCAGAAGUGAGAGGGCCGAGCUCCACCGGUUCGUGAUCCCUAGUGACCCUGGAACAAGGUUCUUUACCUGAGUUACCUCAUCUCGUCUUCUGGACAGCCCAUAAGCCAGCGCAGCUCCCAUGCCCACUUUGCAGACCGAGAAACCCAGUCUCUUGUGCAGCUCUUCAUGCAGAGUCUUAAUGAGGACCUGGUUGAGCUGGGAUUCAAACCCAAGUUAGUCUGGAGUUCCCGCUGUGGCGUAGCGGGUUAAGAAUCUGAUGGCAGUGGCUCGGGUCACGGUGGGGGCGCGGGUUCAUUUCCCGACCCCUUAACAGUGGGUUAAAGGAUCCAGCAUUGCUGCAGCUGCGGCUUGGAUUCAGUCGCUGGCCCAAGAACCUCCAUGUGCCAAGGAUGCGGCCGUAAAAAACCAAAACAGAACAAACCCCCCAAGUCUGUCUGAAUCCAGAAUCCGAGCUCUUAACAGCGCGCUCCUCCUUGCAGGGGCAGAAGUCAGGAAGUCCCUGCCACAGAGGCCCUGGAAGCAGGGCCUAGAGUGCGACGCCAGUGGACAAAGCCUGGGCUGGGGACCAGGUGACCUGGGUACAUCUCUCCUGGGCCCCACACUCACGAAUACUUCCCUGAGUUCACGGGCAAAAUGGAGAUGAUAAUAAUAGGGCCUCCUCUAUGGGGCGAUUAUCUUACAGGAACGAGUUUUCAGAAGCACGUAUCACAGUGCCUGACACAUAGUAGGUGCCCCGUCAAAGCUCGCCAUCAUUUCUGUGGAUGAGUUCACAGCAGCCUCUUAAGAGCGUGGGAGCAGCGUGCGUGAGGCGCUUUGCCGUGUGCCCUGGUCUCGGAGACUCCCCGAACUGAAAGCGUCGAGGGCAAGGCCCCCGUGUUUCAGGUGGGAACCUGGGGCCCAGGCUUGCAGCAAGCGAGUGGCAGGGCCAGGCCUCGGCCUUGGGGGCUCCCUGCAGCCUCCCUGCUCCAGCCAGGGUGGCAGUUCUCUUCCCAUCUCCUUUUGCCCUGUGUGUCCCCAUCCGUCCAUCCAGGCGUCCCGGCCAUAGGAGGCCAGCUGGACGGCUGACCCGGCAGCCCUUUCUGAGUCCAGCUGCUGACAGGAACUUGCCUGGAUAAAUGCAAAGAGACCCCCUCUGGAGGCUGCUCUUGCGGUGUCCCCAUCCAAAUGUUAAUUUUGCCAAGGCCUUGAUAAAUCUUCCUGUCGUCCCACCUGCCUGAGACAAAGAUUUCAUCUUAUUGAGAGGUGACAUUCCUGCCCUUUGGGACGAGCUAUCAAUUUAAGGCAGCGCCCAGCGUGGCGCGUGAUGAAGAACCAGGUCCCAGUGAACCCCCUUCUGCGCCCCCACCCCCAUCCUUCCCUUAAGCCCCGCGGGGCCAGCCCCCUUGAGAUAUUUUUACCUGCCCUUCUAGAAGAAGUGCGGGGACCCCACCCCUCUUGCCUGGCUCUCACCGUUUCCCUGCACACUUGCUGACGUCCACCUGUCAGCACCUGAACCUCUUUGCCUGAGGCUUGCUCAGGCCUUUAGAGCCACUUGGCUGCCUGGACGGUGGAUCAGAAUAACAUCCCCAGGGUAGCUCUUAACUACUGGCUCUUAGGCGCUGGAGUAGAAGCACCUUUGUGGGGGUGGAUACUCUGCAGCAUGAGUUCCACGCUGGCUCCCAGAAUUCCCCCACGGAGUUAAGCUCCAGUGGCCCACAGUGGUCAUGGGCUUGAUCCUCAGCCCUCAUUGGCUGUCUCCCUACCCCCCCUCAACUCCCCACCUCCUACUUCCCAAUCAACACCUUGCCCUUAGUUCCUUUUCUUCAGGUCUCUUUCUGCAGGGCUGGGCCAGGGAUUGAACCUGGGUCCCAGCACUCCAGAAAUGCUGCCAAUCCUUUUGCACCACAGCGGGAACUCCUUACCAAACAUUUUUUAGCAGCGCAAGUUGUAAUGCCCUGGAGUCAGCCAUGGAACUCAGCGGAGGUCUGACAUUUCUUGAAUGCCUACUGUGUGACAGGGACUGUGUGUUUCUUGCCUCUGGAUCAGUUUUCAUUCAAACUGAAUGCCCUCUCGAAAGUUUUGUCCCACUUUUGCAGUUGAGGAAAUAGAUGCUCAGAGAGGUGAAGUAAUUUACCCAAGGUCACACAGCCAACAAACAAGAGUCAAUAUCCAAACUCAGGCAGCCCACCCUCUUACCCCAUUCCACUCUGCCUCCUCUAGAUUGAGGCACGAAAUGGAGCCAGGAUCCACUUCCAGGUGUGAUCAACUGCCCUGUUGGGAGAAUUUCUCCCAAGGGCUUCCUGUGGGGCAGGCAGCCCCUGCAGGGUGUUAAGGACCCCACAAUAAGAAGAUGCAGCUUCUGCUCUGAAAGGGACAGGGGGAGACAGAGAUGCAUGAAAGACAGUAUGACUGGGACCCUUCCCAGAAUGCACUGCAGCAUCUUCCCAGGGAGGUCCCCUUCUUGCAGCAUCUUGGAGUAUUCGUGGUGGGAGGCAGCCGAGAGACCGUCUGUUUCAAUAUUUUCAUUUUAUGGUUGGGGCAACUGAAGCCCAAAGGAGACAGGGACUCACCCAGGGCUGCAGUCCAGGGCCAGGGCUCUUGUCUUUGAAUUCUUCUGAGCAUCACCCACCCUACCUCUGCCCCCUCCCCCACCCAACAUGUGUCUUGGUCUUGCCUUGCAUUUCCCCAACAGAGGAUCCAUCAUAAGCACUUCUCAAAACUCAGAAGCCUCAAUGUUAAAAACAAAACAAAAUAAACGGGUUUUACAUAAACUGUUUACAUUUCUAUACAACCUAAGGAAGAAGAAAUGUACAGAUUUAGGAGAAAAUAUGUGCACAUAGCAGGUAAAGGGUUAAUAGCCAUACUCAACAAAGAACUUUUACCAAUCAAUAAGGGAUAGACAGACCAUCAGGAAAGAUAAUGGACAAAAGAUAUGAGCAGGGGACACUAGUCUAAGGAGUUAAUGCCAGAGCUUUGGACUUCUGAGGAUCCCAAGAGUGGUGAAACUGUUAUAACUUGUUAAAUAAAUGCUUAUUCAUUAUUAAAAGAUCCAUUUGUAGUGUGGGUCGCACAUUACUGCUUGUUAAGCCCGUUAAUGGGCUGGGAGUCCUCCCAGAUGCCUUAUUUACAGUUACACUCGCAGAAGAAGGUGGCCACAUGCCAGAGUCAUGGCCCCCAUGGCAGGACCUGCCCCCAGCCCCCAGCCCUGUCCCCUUGGUCCCUCAGCCCCAAGCCAAGUGGCCUUAGAGUCCAUUUGCCUCUGCAGCCUGGAUGUGGCAGACCAAGGAGGCGCAUGGCUGGGGAGGCAGGAUGCCCGGUCCUGCCCCUGACUGUGUGAUCUCAGCCCGCACUUUUGGACGUCAGUUUUCCUGUCUGUAAAAUGGGUGGGUGGGCACCAGUGCUAUCAGAGGUCACUCCCACACUGAUGAGCUAAUAUUCGCGAUGAGGAGUGAAUGGCCCGGGGAGACUGGGCACCUACCAUCCUCCCUGCCCCCACUUCUAGCCGCAAGGACCGCUGCUGACCUAAUCAACUGAAACUCCAUGAAGGAGUUG